GACGAACGCUGGCGGCGUGGAUUAGGCAUGCAAGUCGGACGGUAGGGCUUUAUCGUAAGAUAGAGUUUGAGAGUGGCGAACGGGUGAGUAACACGUAGGAAUCUACCCUUAAGACGGGGACAACCCAGGGAAACUUGGGCUAAUACCGGAUGAGAGUGCGAGAGAUUGCAUUUAAAAGGAUGGCGAAAGUUGUCGCUUAGGGAUGAGCCUGCGGUCUAUUAGUUAGUUGGUGAGGUAAGAGCUCACCAAGGCGAUGAUAGAUAGGCGGCCUUAACGGGUGGUCGCCCACACUGGGAUUGAGAUACGGCCCAGACUCCUACGGGAGGCAGCAGUCGAGAAUAGUCUACAAUGGCCGGAAGGCUGAUAGUGCGACGCCGCGUGAGCGAAGAAGGCCUUCGGGUUGUAAAGCUCUGUCUGGAGGGACGAAGGAAGUGACGGUACCUCCGGAGGAAGCCACGGCUAACUACGUG
RNAcentral lists this ribosomal RNA (470 nucleotides) under uncultured bacterium. RNAcentral's name for it is "bacterial SSU rRNA". It matches the Rfam family "Bacterial small subunit ribosomal RNA", at positions 28 to 507 of the family's 1533-position model. The record is from RNAcentral.